AACGAACGCUGGCGGCAUGGCUAAGACAUGCAAGUCGAACGGACUGUGUAGCAAUAUGCAGUUAGUGGCGAAAGGGAGAGUAAUGAAUAGGUAAUGUACCUUGGACACCGGGAUAGCGCCGGGGGCAACCCCUUUGCGAAAGUGGCGAUAAUACCGGAUGAAGUCGUUGGGGGGCAUCUUCCGACGACCAAAGGGCGGCCGCAAGGCUGCCGGUCUUUGAGCAGCCUAUCNCCUAUCACCUAGUUGGCGAGGUACGCG
RNAcentral lists this ribosomal RNA (258 nucleotides) under uncultured bacterium. RNAcentral describes it as "partial 16S ribosomal RNA". It matches the Rfam family "Bacterial small subunit ribosomal RNA", at positions 29 to 263 of the family's 1533-position model. The record is from RNAcentral.